This 592-nucleotide ribosomal RNA is filed under the name uncultured fungus. RNAcentral's name for it is "eukaryotic LSU rRNA". It matches the Rfam family "Eukaryotic large subunit ribosomal RNA", at positions 23 to 641 of the family's 3401-position model. Lineage: Eukaryota; Fungi. The record is from RNAcentral.
ACCCGCUGAACUUAAGCAUAUCAAUAAGCAGAGGAAAAGAAACCAACAGGGAUUGCCCUAGUAACGGCGAGUGAAGCGGCAACAGCUCAAAUUUGAAAUCUGGCUUCGGCCCGAGUUGUAAUUUGCAGAGGAAGCUUUAGGCGCGGCACCUUCUGAGUCCCCUGGAACGGGGCGCCAUAGAGGGUGAGAGCCCCGUAUAGUUGGAUGCCUAGCCUGUGUAAAGCUCCUUCGACGAGUCGAGUAGUUUGGGAAUGCUGCUCAAAAUGGGAGGUAAAUUUCUUCUAAAGCUAAAUACCGGCCAGAGACCGAUAGCGCACAAGUAGAGUGAUCGAAAGAUGAAAAGCACUUUGAAAAGAGGGUUAAAUAGCACGUGAAAUUGUUGAAAGGGAAGCGCUUGUGACCAGACUUGCGCCGGGCAGAUCAUCCGGUGUUCUCACCGGUGCACUCUGCCCGGCUCAGGCCAGCAUCGGUUCUCGCGGGGGGAUAAAGGCCCUGGGAACGUAGCUCCUCCGGGAGUGUUAUAGCCCGGGGCGUAAUGCCUUCGCGGGGACCGAGGUUCGCGCAUCUGCAAGGAUGCUGGCGUAAUGGUCAU